UACAGAGGUCUCAAGCGUUGUUCGGAUUCAUUGGGCGUAAAGGGUGCGUAGGUGGCGGGGUUAGUCAGGUGUGAAAUCUCGGAGCUCAACUCCGAAACUGCACUUGAUACUGCCUUGCUAGAGUACUGGAGAGGAGAUUGGAAUUUACGGUGUAGCAGUGAAAUGCGUAGAUAUCGGGAGGAACACCCGUAGCGAAGGCGGCACUCUGGGCCGGUACUGACGCUGAGGAGCGAAAGCGUGGGGAGCAAACAGG
This 253-nucleotide ribosomal RNA is filed under the name uncultured bacterium. Its description in RNAcentral is "partial 16S ribosomal RNA". It matches the Rfam family "Bacterial small subunit ribosomal RNA", at positions 524 to 776 of the family's 1533-position model. The record is from RNAcentral.